Bombus terrestris (buff-tailed bumblebee) is the source of this 2061-nucleotide long non-coding RNA. RefSeq lists it as uncharacterized. The record is from RefSeq and is a predicted model, not a curated record. Lineage: Eukaryota; Metazoa; Arthropoda; Insecta; Hymenoptera; Apidae. The transcript is spliced from 4 exons.
CUAAUAACGCAUGGUCAUUCGUAUAGCAAACAUAUAAGUGUAUAGCCAACACAAACAUUGUCAGUGUCAUGCCUGAUUAGACAAGGACAGAAGACACUUUUAUGCAGCGUUCUUUCUACUCCUAUGUCGCAUCCACUUACACGAUAAUUUAAGACUAUAUGACUCGCGUACUCUAACUCUUUGUAUAUCUAUGGUUAUAAUAGACAUUUAUUGCAGUCUCACAAUUGUUCGAAAUUUUGAAUUUUAGAACAUGUCUAAGAAUCAUGGAAAUGGAAAGGUAGGUAGCAUUUCUGCACUUCCAUCAAAAUUACUAUUAACAAAUUGAACACUUUAAACACUCCAUCCAUUAAAUAAACCUCUAUUAUAUAAUUGUGAUAGUAUGAAACUUCCUUUCUGCUGUGACGUCCAUAUCUCAUAAAAAGAUUAUUUGAAAGUUAGUGGUUUUCACGUUCGUGUUCUAUGUACAUAUGUAGCGCUUAAAGUUCUAAAACAGACAAUUUAAAUAUCCGUGAAGGUCACCUUUUAUAAACAUUAUGUCCAUUCAUUGGGGUAUAGCAGGUGCUGGAAAAUAUCACAUGGUUUUGUAACAUGCUUACGAACAUUACCAGAAUCCGAACAUGUAGUUCUUGCAGUAGCGGCACGUGAACUAUCAAGGGCACAGAACUUUUCUAGCUUACAUAAAAUUAAAAAGGCGUUAUUACAAUUAUGUAGAGCUAGCUCUACAAUUAUGUAGAGCUAGCGAAAGACAAGAAUAUUGAUGUCGUAUAUAUUGGAACGUUACAUCCUCAACACUUUGACAUUGCAAAAUUAAUGUUAAAUCAUGGGAAACAUGUUUUAUGUGAAAAACCUUUAACUAUGAAUUUGAAGCAAACAACAGAGUUGAUAAAUUUAGCAAAGCAGAAGAAGUUGUUCUUAAUGGAAGGUAUUUGGAGUAGUAGUUGUUUUCCUAUAUAUGAAACUCUUAAAAAAGAAAUUGUCAUAGAGUGUUAUCAGCGUUGUCAUAGACUGUUGUCACCAUAUUUUAAAAAGAAUCGUUGUAACGAAGUUAGUGAGUAACGAACAGUGAUUGCGCAAACAUAGAUUGCCGGAGCAUCAAACGAUAUUGUAACAAUCAUACCGUUACCAAAUCUACUAGCACUAUACCAUUUUCCUACAUAUAUAUAUAUAUGCUUAAGAUACAAUAAGUUACAUAUAUAUAAAAUAUGUAUGUAUGUAUAUUUCAAUACUCCUAUAAGAUAUACAGGGUAUAUUGUUUAAUACCAACCACCAUUUCUCGAGUGUUUCCAAUAAUAUUGUAACGUCGCGUGAAAAGGUCCGCGCGACGUCCUUCAUUGUCUGACCGUCAAGGCCCAAGCACCGUUAGAGAAACACUCAAUAAACCUAAGGCCCCACCAUAAACCGAGUCUUAUUAGUUGGCAGGAAGCUUUAACCGUACAAGUAUUUUCAGUUUAUUACUGGUACUUAAAAGGUCCUUAGGUCUAUUGUACAUUCUUCCAAAUUACGAAGAAAGGAAGUAGUUACCUAAAGGGAAAAACGAAAAAAUUGCCUAAUGGAAUAGCUGGUAAUAUAACCGAAUAAAACUGAUCCCAUAUCAAAUCUGCAGCCUUUCUGUUCACAAAAGCUAAUAGCAGAAUCCGUUAAUGCAGAUUUGGCUGGUAGUGCAACUGGUUUAAUAGAGUAACGUUAGUCCUGAAGAAUCACGGUGACGUAUAUUAUGCAAACGGAACACCGAUGCUGGCAAAAUUGUCGGAAACACCCGGGAAAUGGCAGUCUUGAGUCUAGAGUCCAGUCGAAUUCGCCUAGAACAAUACAGUUUGCAGGUCAACGGGAGAAAGUCUUUCGCAAUUGUUGUUUGAAAUAAAUCAGCUUGGCUUCAUUAAGCGACAGGAAUAAGUGACAAGCCUGAGCAAGAAAAUGAACGCGUCUGCGACAGAAAACAUAAAAAUGCGACAGGGUAUCAAAAUCGACGAUACGUGAUGAUCGGAUACGUGAUUCGGACGUCGCACCGGGAGUAGAUAAGGAAUUGGUACCGAAAUUUGAAAGCCCCUACGUUAUUAAAAA